This is a non-coding RNA of Acanthosepion pharaonis, 99 nucleotides long. The record is from the annotation of a GenBank genome assembly. NCBI's taxonomy places the organism in Eukaryota, Metazoa, Mollusca, Cephalopoda, Sepiida, Sepiidae.
GUUAAAACACUUCUUCCCGUACGGUCACCGAAGUUAAGCAACUUUGAACCUGGUUAAUACUUAAACGGGUGAGCGCUUGGGAAUACUAGGUGUUGUAAG